Molecule: long non-coding RNA, 201 nt
Organism: Hypanus sabinus (Atlantic stingray)
Lineage: Eukaryota; Metazoa; Chordata; Chondrichthyes; Myliobatiformes; Dasyatidae
Exons: 3
Source: RefSeq, a predicted model, not a curated record
AUUUGCCAGCAGCUGCAACUAUGAAGCAUACGGCAUUACUUAUAAUCUGGGUUCUUACCCUCAGUAACUGUUAUGACUCACUUGCUGGGAGGUCUAACUUAGACUACUCACAUUCCUCUUUUGAUCUGCAAGGGGAUGUCCUUACCCAAAUGUUCAGGCGCUCAGCAGAUAGUGUCCAAAAGGGAAGAGAAAACCAUCGUA